UCCUAAAAAUCAUUCAUGAUUAUUUGACUAAAUAGUUGCUGCUAUAAGUAAUUUGUAACAUGUGUGCUGAUUUUUUGUGAGAGAAUUAUUACUUAUAUUUAUAUUGGUUUGAUUGUGCAUACUGUCUGUCCUUAUGAUUUAAUAUUACACGUACAAAAUUUGAAAGGUGGAAAGUGAGAUUGUGGCAGCAUUCUUGAGAGGAAAAGAAUGCCAUUUGUUAGAUUUGGACCUUAAUGCCGUACUUGGAUUCAUUGAUGAUUUCUGCAUAUGGGUGAUACUUUAUUUGAAAGACAGAGUUCUCAAUUUGUUCUAGCGGUCUCAGAUAUAGUUCUUAUAAACAUGUAAGUUUCCUUUUCAAAAGUUUUCCUGUAUAGAAAGAAAUUAAGCUUCUUUCCUUUUCGUAUUUCUUUCACUUUAUUAGAACUGUCAAUAGAACUGAAUGUUAUGUUAAGGUGAUUUCAUUCUAUUUGGAUUCAAUUCAUACACGUUGAAUCUUACUUUGCUAUUGGAUUGUAUAAAGAGCUAAAACAUGUAGCAUAAAGGAUUUGCAAAUGAAAUAACAACUUAUUCCUUAUUGUUUUCCUACACAGGUGGAAGAAGAAGACAAAGAAAUAGAUAGCUUUCUCAAAAUACAUUGUAUCUUUCUCAAAAUAUGUCUUAACAACAACUUAUUCUUUAUUAUUAUCCUACAACUGUAUGUUUUAACAACAUGUAUCUUUCUCAAAAUAUGUUGUUAAUACCAAAUGUGUCUUGCACUCUUGUUUCAGGGUGAGAAAAAGAAGACAAAAUACAAAAAUUGAAAAGUAUUGGGACUGGAAAUUGGCCAAUGAAACAAACCCAAUAUAGAUGAGGCAGCCUCAAGGAAGUCGAAAAGGAAGAGUACAAUAAAUUCUACAGGAAGACUUUUAACAAGUUCUUAGAACCGCUUGCUCAUACUCAGUUCACCACCGAGAUAUUUUGAUUUGAUGAUAUUUUAGUAACUUUUGUUAGAACAUUUUCUUUAGAGAGCUAAUAUUAUAAACUCUUUACAUUCUAGUAACAUGAAUGAAUGACAUAUUGUAUGUUAGGAAUGAUUUUUAUUUAUUUAUAAAUGUGCUUCCCAAAGUGUGUUGUCUUGACAAUAUUUUAAUUGCAGGUAAGAAUAAUGAAGAAGAAACUUGUCAGACCCAAAGCUCACAUGUUCUGGUAGCUUUACAAGAGUCCUUAUAGAGUGAAAGAUCCAUCAAAAUCAUGGCCAAUUAUUCUGUGGUUACAACUUACAAGGAGGACCUGCAAUAACUACUUAUAUGUAUGGUUUUAGAUUGAAAUAUUGUGAAUAGUAAUAUAUAAUUGUUGAAACAUUUUA
Arachis ipaensis is the source of this 1345-nucleotide non-coding RNA. Lineage: Eukaryota; Viridiplantae; Streptophyta; Magnoliopsida; Fabales; Fabaceae. The record is from RefSeq and is a predicted model, not a curated record.